Molecule: long non-coding RNA, 507 nt
Organism: Patella vulgata (common limpet)
Lineage: Eukaryota; Metazoa; Mollusca; Gastropoda; Patellidae
Exons: 4
Source: RefSeq, a predicted model, not a curated record
AGAUGUUAAAUAUCAAUAUAAAAACCAUGCACGAUAACGAUGAUGGAUAUUAUAAAUAAAGAACCAGUAACAGUUCAUAGAGCGUCAUUAUGAAACUACUGAUUUUCUUUUCGUCAUUAAUAGCCAUCUCCUUGGCUACUUAUCCUUAUGACCACCUUGAUUGUGUACGAGGUCCACCGGGCCCACCAGGCCCACCAGGCCCACCGGGACAACUCCACCGUCCAGGCUCUGAAUCAUGUAUAUAUAUUGGAUCAAACGGGGAUUGUUACAGACCAGACCCUAUUGGUGUUAUCAGUGAAGACGAAUGCAAGGAAAGAUUUGGAAAUGAUCAAUACCAGAUGUGGGUGGGCAAACAAGCAUGGUUGGACUAUAUAAAUUCUCAUACCCGGUUUUAUAACCGUAAUAGAGGAAACCUCCCGGGUCCUAGGGGCCCUUCCGCUUAAAUGUUUCUGGAACUGACAAAGAAAGUUCACAAUUUUAAUUAAAAUAAAAGAAAUUAUUCGAUAA